This 60-nucleotide transfer RNA is filed under the name Ixodes woodi. RNAcentral describes it as "tRNA-Val". The record is from RNAcentral. Lineage: Eukaryota; Metazoa; Arthropoda; Arachnida; Ixodida; Ixodidae.
AAAAUGGUUCUCUACAAACAAAUUUUCAUUGUAAAUGAAAUAUCUAAUGAUUUCAUUUUA